UACGGAGGGUGCAAACGUUGCUCGGAAUCAUUGGGCGUAAAGCGCACGUAGGCGGUUCGUUAUGUCGGAUGUGAAAGCCUCGGGCUUAACCCGAGAAGUGCAUCCGAAACUGGCGGGCUUGAGUACGGAAGAGGGUCUCGGAAUUCCCGGUGUAGAGGUGAAAUUCGUAGAUAUCGGGAGGAACACCAGUGGGGAAGGCGGAGACCUGGGCCGAUACUGACGCUGAGGUGCGAAAGCGUGGGGAGCAAACAGG
Molecule: ribosomal RNA, 253 nt
Filed under: uncultured bacterium
Lineage: Bacteria
Description: partial 16S ribosomal RNA
Rfam family: Bacterial small subunit ribosomal RNA
Source: RNAcentral